Molecule: unclassified non-coding RNA, 250 nt
Filed under: plant metagenome
Description: partial contains small subunit ribosomal RNA, internal transcribed spacer 1, and 5.8S ribosomal RNA
Source: RNAcentral
GUAGGUGAACCUGCGGAAGGAUCAUUAACACUUUUAUCAAAAACUUUACCCCUUUUUCAUAUUUUGAAACCCUUCUUUCUCUCUUUGAUUCUCUCUCUUUUGAGUGGGAAGAGAAGAGAGGGAGAUAUGUUUGAUUUGUGAGAUUGAACAAAAUGUGUGGCCUUUCUUACUUUUUUAAUUAUUAUUUGAGAACGAGGGAACUUUCGUUCCUUCGGUUUUUUCAUAUCUCUUAAACUAGUUCAACCCAAAA